Molecule: transfer RNA, 72 nt
Filed under: Friedmanniomyces endolithicus
Lineage: Eukaryota; Fungi; Ascomycota; Dothideomycetes; Mycosphaerellales; Teratosphaeriaceae
Description: tRNA-Met
Rfam family: tRNA
About the family: Transfer RNA (tRNA) molecules are approximately 80 nucleotides in length. Their secondary structure includes four short double-helical elements and three loops (D, anti-codon, and T loops). Further hydrogen bonds mediate the characteristic L-shaped molecular structure. tRNAs have two regions of fundamental functional importance: the anti-codon, which is responsible for specific mRNA codon recognition, and the 3' end, to which the tRNAs corresponding amino acid is attached (by aminoacyl-tRNA synthetases). tRNAs cope with the degeneracy of the genetic code in two manners: having more than one tRNA (with a specific anti-codon) for a particular amino acid; and 'wobble' base-pairing, i.e. permitting non-standard base-pairing at the 3rd anti-codon position.
Source: RNAcentral
GGCCGGGUCGUCUAAUGGUAGGACGUUGGAUUCAUCACAUUCGACAUGCGGGUUCAAAUCCCGCCCCGGCCG